This 585-nucleotide ribosomal RNA is filed under the name uncultured bacterium. RNAcentral describes it as "bacterial SSU rRNA". It matches the Rfam family "Bacterial small subunit ribosomal RNA", at positions 319 to 917 of the family's 1533-position model. The record is from RNAcentral.
CGUCCCCGCCGCCCCCCGCCCGCCUACGGGAGGCAGCAGUGGGGAAUAUUGCGCAAUGGGGGGAACCCUGACGCAGCAAUACCGCGUGAGUGAAGAAGGCCUUCGGGUUGUAAAGCUCUUUUAGUGGGGAAGAUAGUGACGGUACCCACAGAAAAAACUCCGGCUAACUCCGUGCCAGCAGCCGCGGUAAUACGGAGGGAGUGAGCGUUGUUCGGAUUUACUGGGCGUAAAGCGCGCGUAGGUUGUUUUGUAAGUCAGAAGUGAAAUCCUCGGGCUCAACUCGAGAACUGCUUUUGAAACUGCGAGACUGGAGACCGGCAGAGGAUGGCGGAAUUCCCCAUGUAGAGGUGAAAUUCGUAGAUAUGGGGAGGAACACCAGAGGCGAAGGCGGCCAUCUGGACCGGUACUGACACUGAGGCGCGAAAGCGUGGGGAGCAAACAGGAUUAGAUACCCUGGUAGUCCACGCUGUAAACGAUGAGUGCUGGUUGUUGCGGGUAUCGACCCCUGCAGCAACGAAGCUAACGCGUUAAGCACUCCGCCUGGGGAGUACGGNCGCAAGAUUAAAACUCAAANGAAUUGACGGA